AUUGAACGCUGGCGGCAUGCUUUACACAUGCAAGUCGAACGGCAGCGGGGUAGUGCUUGCACUACUGCCGGCGAGUGGCGAACGGGUGAGUAAUAUAUCGGAACGUACCGAGUAAUGGGGAUAACCAAUCGAAAGAUUGGCUAAUACCGCAUACGUCCUGAGGGAGAAAGCGGGGGAUCGCAAGACCUCGCGUUAUUCGAGCGGCCGAUAACUGAUUAGCUAGUUGGUGGGGUAAAGGCCUACCAAGGCGACGAUCAGUAGCGGGUCUGAGAGGACGAUCCGCCACACUGGGACUGAGACACGGCCCAGACUCCUACGGGAGGCAGCAGUGGGGAAUUUUGGACAAUGGGGGCAACCCUGAUCCAGCCAUGCCGCGUGUAUGAAGAAGGCCUUCGGGUUGUAAAGUACUUUUGUUAGGGAAGAAAAGGGAAGUGCUAAUACCACUUUUUGCUGACGGUACCUAAAGAAUAAGCACCGGCUAACUACGUG
RNAcentral lists this ribosomal RNA (489 nucleotides) under uncultured bacterium. RNAcentral describes it as "partial 16S ribosomal RNA". It matches the Rfam family "Bacterial small subunit ribosomal RNA", at positions 30 to 507 of the family's 1533-position model. The record is from RNAcentral.